GUCUAGGUGGUUAGGAUACUCGGCUUUCACCCGAGCGACCCGGGUUCGAGUCCCGG
This is a non-coding RNA of Eimeria praecox, 56 nucleotides long. Lineage: Eukaryota; Apicomplexa; Conoidasida; Eucoccidiorida; Eimeriidae. The record is from Rfam.